GAUUAAGUUUCUUUGCCUGGUUAAUCGAUUAAUUAACUUAAUAUGGUUCGAGUUGGGUUGUUUGAGGGUUUGGUUUAUUAAGGGACACUGGUUUAUUAAGGGACACUUGGCGAGAUUUUAAGGAGUGGGACAGGAUGUGAGACAGGGUGUGGUACAGAAGAUCCGUUGCGCCCUCCGUCCCACUUUGAUAGUCCUGUUUUCCUUUUUUGUCUGUCCCAAAUUGCAGUCCACUUUCCAAUUGAAGAAUGUAGUUGUAUUUUCAUUUUUCUAAAAUACCCUUAUUUAAUACAAGUUGUUGUUGCUAUAAACCUACCCCAUUUAAUGAGAGUUGAUUCUUUUUUUACCAUCAAUUCAAGUUCCCAUAAAGUUAUACUCUAUUUAAUGUGAGGGUAUUUUAGGAAAAUAGCAAUCUAAAUUUAUUUUUCCAACAAAAUUAACUACUUUUUCUUAAAC
Molecule: long non-coding RNA, 453 nt
Filed under: Coffea arabica (coffee)
Lineage: Eukaryota; Viridiplantae; Streptophyta; Magnoliopsida; Gentianales; Rubiaceae
Description: long non-coding RNA (CARA_LNC003926)
Source: RNAcentral